Molecule: ribosomal RNA, 502 nt
Filed under: uncultured Desulfobulbus sp.
Lineage: Bacteria; Pseudomonadati; Thermodesulfobacteriota; Desulfobulbia; Desulfobulbales; Desulfobulbaceae
Description: bacterial SSU rRNA
Rfam family: Bacterial small subunit ribosomal RNA
Source: RNAcentral
GCCAGCCCGCUCAGAAACUUAAGGAAUUGACGGGGCCCGCACAAGCGGUGGAGUAUGUGGUUUAAUCGAUGCAACGCGAAGAACCUUACCUGGUCUUGACAUCCCGGAGACCCUUAGGAAACUAGGGGGUGCUUCCAUCUGGAAGAAUCUGGAGACAGGUGCUGCAUGGCUGUCGUCAGCUCGUGUCGUGAGAUGUUGGGUUAAGUCCCGCAACGAGCGCAACCCUUGCCUUUAGUUGCCAGCAGUUCGGCUGGGCACUCUAAAGGGACUGCCGGUGUUAAACCGGAGGAAGGUGGGGAUGACGUCAAGUCCUCAUGGCCUUUAUGACCAGGGCUACACACGUACUACAAUGGCCGAUACAAAGGGCAGCGACACUGCGAGGUGAAGCCAAUCCCGUAAAAUCGGUCUCAGUCCGGAUUGGAGUCUGCAACUCGACUCCAUGAAGUUGGAAUCGCUAGUAAUCGUGGAUCAGCAUGCCACGGUGAAUACGUUCCCGGGCCUU